GGAAUUGUUCGCAAUGGGCGCAAGCCUGACGACGCAACGCCGCGUGGAGGAUGAAGGUCUUCGGAUUGUAAACUCCUGUUGACCGGGACGAAACCCUUAGGGAUCAAUACCCCUGAAGGCUGACGGUACCGGUUGAGGCAGCCCCGGCUAACUCUGGGCCCGCAGCCGCGGUAAUACAGAGGGGGCGAGCGUUGUUCGGCAUUACUGGGCGUAAAAGGCGCGUAGGCGGCCAACUAAGUCAGACGUGAAAUCCCCAGGCUCAACCUGGGAACUGCGUCUGAUACUGGAUGGCUGGAGUUCGGGAGAGGGAAGUGGAAUUCCAGGUGUAGCGGUGAAAUGCGUAGAUAUCUGGAGGAACACCGGUGGCGAAGGCGGCUUCCUGGACCGACACUGACGCUGAGGCGCGAAAGCCAGGGGAGCAAAC
RNAcentral lists this ribosomal RNA (424 nucleotides) under uncultured bacterium. RNAcentral's name for it is "bacterial SSU rRNA". It matches the Rfam family "Bacterial small subunit ribosomal RNA", at positions 358 to 773 of the family's 1533-position model. The record is from RNAcentral.